RNAcentral lists this long non-coding RNA (679 nucleotides) under Prunus dulcis (almond). Its description in RNAcentral is "sRNA ncRNA". The record is from RNAcentral. Lineage: Eukaryota; Viridiplantae; Streptophyta; Magnoliopsida; Rosales; Rosaceae.
UUAAGAAAACAAAUAUGUCUCUUUUAUAUUCCCAUAUAACUGCGCUACAAAUUUAAAUUAAAAUAAAUAAAUAAAUUGAAUUAAAUUGAUACAAAUAUUAAAUGGAUAAUUGUAAAAAUAAAAACCCAUAAACCCCCCACUCUACAUAACCAAGACAGCAACGAAAACCCCUACGGCCACAGAUCCGGCGGCGGAGAACCUAUUCAAAACGGCGCCGUUGGUGGCGGGUGCGGGAGCCUCAGAGGGCGGUCCAGAGACUGAAGAUGGAGGGAUCGCUGGAGAUUCAGGGGAAACGGAUAGGGGAGAAGGUGGAGAGACUGCGACGGGAGACUGAGAAGGAGCAGCCGAUGGUGGAGUGCUCAAAGGAGAAGGCGAAGCCUUGGGUGGAGUGCUCGAUGGAGAAGGGGCAGCGGCGUGUUUGGGAGAGAGCGCAGGGGACUUGGCGGGUGACGAUGUAGGGGAUUGCGCCCUUGUUGAGGCCAACAAGAGAGAAGCCAUUAGCACCAAAACGACGCUGCUUAAUCUGGCCAUUGUAGAGAGAGAGAGAGAGAAUUCGCACGAAGAGAGAGAGUGAGGGUCUGAGAGGCAGAGAGGCGAAGGAUGUGGGUUUAAGGAGAGCAGGGAGGGGGGCUUUUUAUAGAGGGGUAUGGUGAGAAGACUUGGCUGAGGGAUCGCCGUU